GUGCGUGCCGCCGUUGAUCCGGUGCUGCAGUGAGGAGGUGGUUCUCGCCCGUGUUGUGUGUGUGUGUGUGUGUGUGAGUGAGAGAGCGAGUGAGUGAGUGAGUGAGUGUGUGUGUGGGGGGACUCGGCUUGUUGUUGUCGGUGACUUCCCCCUCCCCUCCACCCCUCCCCCUUCCCCGCCGCCGCUGCAGUGGCCGCUCCCUGGGCCGUAGGAAAUGAGCGAUAACGAUGACAUCGAGGUGGAGAGCGACGAAGAGCAACCGAGGUUUCAAUCUGCGGCUGACAAACGGGCUCAUCAUAAUGCACUGGAACGAAAACGUAGGGACCACAUCAAAGACAGCUUUCACAGUUUGCGGGACUCGGUCCCAUCACUCCAAGGAGAGAAGGCAUCCCGGGCCCAAAUCCUAGACAAAGCCACAGAGUAUAUCCAGUAUAUGCGAAGGAAAAACCACACACACCAGCAAGAUAUUGAUGACCUCAAGCGGCAGAAUGCUCUUCUGGAGCAGCAAGGGGAAAGCGAGAGCUGAUCAAGUUCUUUGUUCCUGGGGAAUUCACUUCUCUUCCUCCCUCAUGGAAGAUGCAAGUAAAAGGAAAUUCCGUGCACUGGAGAAGGCGAGGUCGAGUGCCCAACUGCAGACCAACUACCCCUCCUCAGACAACAGCCUCUACACCAACGCCAAGGGCAGCACCAUCUCUGCCUUCGAUGGGGGCUCAGACUCCAGCUCGGAGUCGGAGCCCGAAGAGCCCCAAAGCAGGAAGAAGCUCCGGAUGGAGGCCAGCUAAGCUCCACGGGGCAGGCCAGCAAUAAAAACUGUCUGUCUCCUCCAUCGUCUUAUCCUCCUUUCAGUUCAUCUUUAAAACCCUCAGAACCAUUUAAGAGACUCUUUAUUUUUUUCUCCUUCUUUUUUUUUUAUUUUAUUUUUUUUUAAUUUUAUUUUUACGUAGAAGCUCUUGGACAACAGCUCUCGUUCUCCUUCCCCAUUUCCACUAUUUUUUUUUUUUUAACGUUUCCCUUCAGGGAUUCCCUGUCCCCACCAGGAAUAUUCAAACCAAAACACCCCAACUUGGCAGCUUUUUCUGUGGAGGACAGACGGCCGGCCAGACCUCUGAGCACAUGGUGUCCUGACCACCCACCAGCUCCUCCAGCCCUGCCGGGCGCAUGUGCCCGGGGGACUCCUGCCCCUCCCAGGCCUCUCCUCCCGGGCCACCCUCACCGCUGUUUGAUAGACUUUGUGAAUCUGUGGACUGCUCUACUUUAAGAAGAUGACCAGUUUGGAGUAAUCAGAAUUAUUCCCCCUUCUUUUUAAGGAUUUUUUUUUUCCCCUAAAAGGCUAUUUAUCGCUCGUGUUGAAAGACCAGAUCCUUGAAGAAGUUUGUGGUAUAAAAGGAAGUGGGGACAGAUUUGCAGCGCAGAGUCUUUGGCCUGUUUCACUCCUGCUUCUCUCAGCCAGCCUUAGGGAGGGCCGCGUGACACUCGUGUGGUUUGUGGGGGGCAGCAGCAGUGAAGCGGUAGCCGCCAGGGGGUGGGAGGGGGCGGGACAAGGAGGGAGGGUCGGGUGGGGUAGAGGUUUUGUAUUGAGGGCCAGUGAUGUUUUGAUAUUUAUUUCCUGCUACUGAAAUUUGAAUCUGAGUGAAUUGUCCCUAUUUCUGAUGAUGUCGGUAUUGCAAAACGACAGAUUCAUAAAGUAAUGAUCAAAUCUUC
Molecule: RNA transcript, 1701 nt
Organism: Balaenoptera musculus (blue whale)
Lineage: Eukaryota; Metazoa; Chordata; Mammalia; Artiodactyla; Balaenopteridae
Gene: MAX
Gene name: MYC associated factor X
Exons: 6
Source: RefSeq, a predicted model, not a curated record